RNAcentral lists this long non-coding RNA (1605 nucleotides) under Panax ginseng (ginseng). Its description in RNAcentral is "long non-coding RNA (PGIN_LNC003016)". Lineage: Eukaryota; Viridiplantae; Streptophyta; Magnoliopsida; Apiales; Araliaceae. The record is from RNAcentral.
CUCGACAAGUCAACUAGUUUUUCAGUGUACAUUGCUCUCGUAUCAAAUAGAAAUUAAAUCCUUGAAACUUUAAGUACAUGAGAUUUCAAUUCAUCAUAAGGGAAAACCACCUCCAUUAUAUUUAACAAUUUCAUUACAAAACAAUUACAACUUCAUUAUAAACAACAAAAACAACAACACGAAACAAAAAACAAACUCCUAGUACACCACUAUUUUCUUUAAUCCUUCACUGUUCCAUUUUAUCUCAAUUUUUGCCACCAACUCUUGAUUUUUCUUUUUGUACAAUACCUUUGUCAUUAUUGCGCUUGAAUUUGUUCCAUCUACUUCACUGCACAGAGCUUCCAACACAAGUAAAUGACAUACUUUUGUUAAAUAAUUAGAAAAUAACAAGAAUGUACACUAAAAUUCAACACAAACUAUUAAAUCUUUUUUCCAUUGCUUGUAAAAUGAAAUUGUUCCGAGUCUAUGCUACUUGAAAAUACAAAAGUUGAUUUUCUCCAGUUCUAAAUAGUUGCAGAAAAAUCUACGCCUUUAAAAGACGGUGGAUGUCAAUUGUACAAUUCUAUAACAUUAUCAGUAUUACAAUAAUUGGGCAUGUUAUAAUACUUGGGAUUAUGCAUGUAUGCAAAAGGUUUACCAAUCAAUACAAUAAAAUUUAACACCUAUUUAACAGUAAAAAAAUUGAAUUGGUUGAAAAAUUUGUCUGUCGAGCAAUGUAAAAUUAGAAAUGACCAAUUUCGAGAUAAGGCUGGCACUUCCACGCCCAGAAACAGACUCGAAUAAUUUAAAAUUUGACAACACAAUCAACAAGAGAUAAAUGUCCAUCAAGAAGAUGUUCAAAAAAAAAUGAGAGCAAAACGACAUCACAAGAACUACAAUGAUGCUUUGAUACUUCUACCCAAACCAUUAUAAAAGAAUUCUUCAAAUAAAGAAGUCUAUAACACAUUUUUUAAUUUUCUUGUUUUAACUGUAUCAAAAAAAAUUUAAUUUCUUGAUUUCAGGAAACACCUUUAGACGUUUUUUUCUUGCAUACAAGAGCUAAAAAAUUGAUUGAAAUAAAUUUCUUUCAAAGUAUGAAUAGGUUCUCCCAAUAAAUGAUUCAGCAGCCACCAUUGCAUAGUUACAGUUCAAUAAACAUAUUCUCAUGUUCAUCCCAAAACACAAAAAAAAUUAAAAAAAAUUAGGGCUAAUUCCCAUAUGAGAAAUUCCCAAAUCGAAUCAAAAAAUGAAAUCGAAAAACCUGUUUAAAUCUUAACGAAAUCGAAAAAAUAGUUGAGGGUUUACCGAAUCUCGUUUAGAUAUGGUGUUUUGUGUUCAAUUUCCCCUUUAGAAUUUCGUCGCAACUCUGUGUCUGGGUUUACCGAGUUGUCGUGUUUGGAGGAGAGUUAGGACAGUUUAGAUGAGUUGGGAGGAUGAGUUUGGAUGAGAGUUAAAAUCUAGGAGGAGUCUGGAUGAGUUGGGAGGAGAGUGUGGGAGGAGAAUUUGGAAGAGGUUUUUCAGAGGAGGGAGUAGCGAAAUUACAGGGUAAGUGGGGAGAGAGAAAAGUACAAAACUCAUACAUAUUUAAGUAGGAAUGUCAUUUAACAAAAGUAUGCGACUUAAGAG